RNAcentral lists this ribosomal RNA (492 nucleotides) under uncultured bacterium. RNAcentral's name for it is "partial 16S ribosomal RNA". It matches the Rfam family "Bacterial small subunit ribosomal RNA", at positions 29 to 507 of the family's 1533-position model. The record is from RNAcentral.
AGUGAACGCUGGCGGUAGGCCUAACACAUGCAAGUCGAACGGCAGCACAGUAAGAGCUUGCUCUUACGGGUGGCGAGUGGCGGACGGGUGAGGAAUACAUCGGAAUCUACUUUUUCGUGGGAAAUAACGUAGGGAAACUUACGCUAAUACCGCAUACGACCUACGGGUGAAAGCAGGGGAUCUUCGGACCUUGCGCGAUUGAAUGAGCCGAUGUCGGAUUAGCUAGUUGGCGGGGUAAAGGCCCACCAAGGCGACGAUCCGUAGCUGGUCUGAGAGGAUGAUCAGCCACACUGGAACUGAGACACGGUCCAGACUCCUACGGGAGGCAGCAGUGGGGAAUAUUGGACAAUGGGCGAAAGCCUGAUCCAGCCAUACCGCGUGGGUGAAGAAGGCCUUCGGGUUGUAAAGCCCUUUUGUUGGGAAAGAAAAGCAGCAGGUUAAUACCCCGCUGUUCUGACGGUACCCAAAGAAUAAGCACCGGCUAACUUCGUG